GACACCUCCAUAGUUGGCAUUAAAAUGUAGCCUCCUAAACCAGGGUUUCCCAAACUCUCUCCUCUUGCCGCCCCCCGGGGUGCUUUUGCCCAAGCACUACACAGCUGAUUCAGAUAAUGAAAGCUUGAUGAAGAGUUGGUUAUUUAAGUCAGCUGUGUAGUUCUAGGGUAAAACUAAAUGGGGCCCCAGGACUGAGUUUGGGAAACCAUGUCCUAGACUACGAAUCACUUCAAGUGAAUUCAGGGAUGAAACUAACAGAUCUAGAAGUGACAGUUAAACAUGUCCUUAAAUGUAAGAGGUUGGACUAUUUCUCGAUACAAAAUGUCUUGAAUUGACUGGUACCGAAUUGAACUCUUUCAACCCACUUCGGGGCACUUGACUUGGAUGUCUGGAAUGUGGUUGGAUGAUUGUGUGUCUGGGGACCAACUUUCCCUUAAAAAUGUCUGGUCUACUGAGCGCAAACUUCAACAUUGUGACAAUUCGGUGCAACUUCCAGCGUAUGUUUACUGUGAACACUGAGGCUGUACCCACUUUUAAUUUGCCGUUUUAACGGUGGCCAUAGAGGGCUACUGUGGCUAUUUGAUCACAAUGUAGGCCUACCAGAAUGGCCUACCAUCAAAAACAAUGGAGAAAAUACAUCCCUUAACAUUUUAACAUGGAAAUAGCUGUUCUAUCAUUCAGCCUACAGUAGCAGCCAGUGUGUGGUGUUCAAUGUAGGCCUACAUUCCACACUUUAGAAAGAAACAUGCAGGGCUUGACAUGAACCUGUUUAAUCACUUGUCCUUCAGACUAAGAGGUGACUGAAAAUGUUGUUGAUGCAAGAAACCACUACAAAAUAAAUGCAUUAUUAUUCCCAUAAUAUUAUUACAGGGAAUCAGACAAAUAAUGCUACCCUCUGCCUAUUGGCUUCGCUUAUUCAAGCCUGUCUCAAAAUACAACACUGCCCCUUUAAGACAAAAAAGCUCUUUACCUGACUCGCUUUUCAAAGAUGCCUAGGAAUGUGCAAGUUUUGUGCUCUUGUAGGAAGCAAUGACUCCCCUAUUUCUGACUACAAAUAAUCUAUUAGUGGGCUAAUAACUCACUAACUAGCAAAACAUAUGAACAAAAUGUACAUUUGUGGCUACAUGCAGCUCUCGGUUUGAUCUCAAAACAAGCUCAUCUACUCACGACUGCUCAUGCUGUAAUUCCAGUCCAGUUGAAAGUAAAUGGCACAGAUCAAUAUAUGGCAAUGGUCUAUUUGCAUGUAGGCCUGCUCCAGCUCUGAUUGUGUUUGCUGCAACGGUCUGUGUAGAGUAUGGGCUGAGUAGUGUGUCAAUGCAAUAGAAUCCUACUCUGAUGUGUUCUACCUACAACAAAAUCUCUUGCAUAGUUCGUUUUAUUUGGGUAUGUUGCAUUGAAUGUGGCUAAUAUUGUGUUGAUUCAAUCACAAUUGCCACAGUAAAGGGAAAUGUUGAUGGUAUUAAAAGGGCAAACUAUAAAACAGUGAGGUAGGCUUUAUGAUCACACUGGUAAUAGAUCCGUUGUUUUAUUACUUGAGGCACAGCUGAGUGAGCAUACAUUUUAAAUAAUUAGCUUUUUAUUUUUAUAUUACUGGGCUGAUGGUGCCUGGCAUCUGAUGGUCAGUCUCAGCGGAAGGAGAGAGCAGCAGACUGAGGGUCCGCCUUUCAUCCUCCCUCUGCUCUCCCUUUCCUCCACUGAUAACGACCAAAAAGGGACACCUUCUUCCAGCUGAUUGGGAAACUCGUGUCACACUGGCAGUAUCAUCUUUGCUGUAGCAAUCUUUUAUGCCUGCUACGUUACUGCAGGCCAGUGGUAAGCCUUAUAGUGCACUGGAUUUGCUCUCUGGACCUGCCGGGAAGGCAGAGUUUGUACCUUCAGACAGAUGAAAUGGUUCAAACUGGCAACAGUUGGCCUACCUGGCACGCAGGGCAGCUGGAUUGGGUGCACCUACCGCCAACAGCCUGAGCUGAAUAAAAAAAUAAAUAGGAACACAAGGUUUUAUCGUUGGGUUUUUUACAGAAAUGUUUGGAGAUCGACCGGUUGGUGACCACUGCUCUAUAAAGUUAAGUGUAGUUGAAUCUCGUGCUUCUCUCUGUGGGCUGAUCCCGGGGGAGCUGCGCGGCGCACUCAGGGCUAUGGUCUGGGUGUGAUAUCCUGCUUAAUAUACUGCUCGAGGUGGGCUGAUGGUUGUGUGUGGGUUGGAAUAUUCACUGAAGCAGUUCUAUUCUCCAAGGGAGAUAGCUAUGCUGAGCCACAACAUUAUUGCAUAAUAUUACUUAUCAGUAUCAGAUGAAUUAUAUUAAUAAUUAGCCAUUGUAGCAGCAGGACUAACUGACUAUCCAGUAUCCACAGUGACACACACUACCUGGAAUGUGUUUGGCAAAGAUUAGAUAUCGUCAUUUGUGACUGACAUAUUUACCCAAAAUGACAGUUCUACUGUGUGAAAGUAAAUAAUUGUUAAGGUAACAGGACAGAAGUGAGGAUGACCAAAGACCUGAGCCUGGAGUUCAAAUCCAGUGGUAUUUCUUUGUCUUAGGAAUGUCAAAUUUGCUAAUUGAAGUUGUUUAACCUGUUUACACUCAUGGGAAUUGGCCUAACUGGAUAGGGCUAAAUUGAAAUGUUUCAUUACAAAAGAAGUAUGAAAAGCAUAUGCAUUACCAUGGCAGCAAUUGAAAGGGGGCAUGUAUUAGACCAAAGGUGUGUCCCCAACAGUUCACCUGAUACAAGACUGAAUCCAAACAUUACACUGUUGAUUUUAUGUGCAUUUUACAUUUACUGUACUUUUCGCUGCAUUUGUUGAAGAUAAAAUAUUAAAAUACCCUGGAUACAUUCAGUAACAUGGUAUAGCAUAUUCCUGGAAAAUGUGGGGUAGGUGCAACGUAAGACAAGAAAAUGACAAGGGUUUGAGUGAGAGGACUAACUGGUGUCUCCAAGUGGACACACACCUCCAGUGUGCAUAGUUCCUAAGCAAUUUCAAUACACUUUUAUGACUCAAUUUAGAGCUGGGCCUGUGCGAUAUUAAAUUUUUGAUUAAUACAUUUUUUUUGGCGUGAUCUUCAGAAUGCCUGUAUUGCACAAAUCCAUUUACAAAAGAAAAGAAAAAAAUGUAUUAGCAUUUUAUGUCCGCUUGAUCUCAUGUUGUGUUUUUGGUGUCGGCUCCUUCUGCGAUGUGUUCAAUGACUGUGGACUGUGUGCAUCUUAAUAUUUACACACACCAAGCCCCUCCCACUGCUACUCACAACAAUAAGGAAGAGACAUUUCUUCAGAUCACUAUUUGCAUUUCAGGUUUGAUCCAACAGAAUUGUUCAUAUGGACACUGAAACGCAUUGAGACAUUAUUUUACUGUAAUAGAGAAGUUAACUUUUCUAACAAUACCAUUUUUAUUUCUCAACUCCUCACAUUGAGAGCAGACACUACUAAAAGGGGAGUAUCAAUUCACAUUGAUUCUGGAAAAUGUAUGCUCAGUUUGUCGUGGUACCGCUAGCAACAUGUUAGCCAAAGACUAUACUAGCUGUAUUUUUAUAAAUGUGCAAUAAGAAUAAAACACCAUUUAUAUAUGGAAUUGGCAACUCAUUCUGAGAAAUAAGGAAGGUCACUUGAUUUCAACACGUGGACAGGCUAGCAUGCUGUUCAAACAGUUGGAGAUGGACAGAAGGGUGUGUUCAUAACAAUUCAACUCUUCUACCUUGUUAGCUAGCAAAUAGAUCUGAGUUGGCAAACCAUGAAAUACAAAUAUUAGCUGGCUACUCACUAGCAUGUGGGCUUAUGCUUAAGAGAUUGUUUAUGAGACCUGUGUUAGUUUUCUAUAAUGCCUGCUACAAGAAAUUAGUUUUAGUGAAUGUGCAUUAUGCAUCGUUCUGUUAAAAUUUGUAACAAAAAGGGCAUUUUCAACCAGGGUUUCCGUUAGCCGGCAUUUGGCAAUAAUAUUAUUAAUAUUAGAUAAAUAAAUCCCAUAGCAAAAUAAUGCUUUUUAGCCCAUUAAUUUAUGGAAAUACCAGUCGCUGUAAAUGUAUUUGACCGGUCUUAUCGAUCUAUAGCCCUCAAUCUCAACUCUGGACCUCGAAGCCAAUUCCACUUUUUUUUUUUUUCAUUGUUCCCCUCUAAUCAGGGACAAUUAAUUGUCAGGUAGAACACAAAACCAGCAGGCUCAGGACCUCAUAGAGUAAAAGCUGAUUUAUGCUUGAUCCAGUAAUGUGGUCCGGAGGCUCCAUAUGGAGCGUGUGAAGCAAUUGCGUGGACUCCGUAGGCUUGCAGAGGGAUAAUCGAGCUCCAUACAGCGACGCCAUGCGCCUCCCAAAUUUUGUAACAAUGUGGAGGGCUCCAUAGAGCUGCGCAUUGACAUGAUUGGUUAACGGUAGGUGGUUGCAGUACAUCCUGUAUAAACACAAACUCACUUCCUUGACAAACAUGGACAACUUUGACGAAAGCCUAUCAGAGCAAGUUCACAAAUAUAAUGCAUCUUUAUGAUACCUUGUGUAGGGAUUUCAAAGAUGUAAAAAUGAGUUUGAACUCCUGGAAAGAGAGAGGGGAGGUAAUGGGGAUAAGGUCAUUGGAAUAAGACCGUGGGGAAAGGACACUGGAUUGAUGCACAUUCAACAAAUCUGAUCUAACAAAGUGGAUAUUUGUCAACUAUGUCAUGAUUGAUGUAUUGUAACAGGCCCACAAUGUGGUUACUAAAAUGUAUUUGGCUGUUUUCGCAGCAUAACAUUUUAUAAGUUGUCCCUUUUCAGGUUUAGAAAAAGUGACUGCUAAAUGUUAACUCCCGUUCGUAUAUGCUGGUAGCAGAGCUAGCAUACAGAAAUCGGUGGUGGAAGUCAGUCGUUUUUAACUGUAGUGCAGUUGAUUGACAUGAACAUGUAUUGGAGUUGACAUCCAUACAAGCAUUACAUUUACAUUUACGUCAUUUAGCAGACGCUCUUAUCCAGAGCGACAUUACACUCUGAUUUUUACCUCAACAUAGUACGAAAUAGACAUAAACAAUAGCCUAAAUGUAGGCAAAUUUUGAGGGCAAAAGGGGAGGGGGGGUACAAUAUGUAAGGCCUUAAAACCUUCAUCAUGUGCGCGCCAUACAGCUUUGUUUACAAACUGUAAAAUGGCUCAAGCGGAAUGUGGCAGAACUAUACUGGUAACUAACCCCUUUUCAUCUGUGUUGUUACUGUUAGCUACCAGGCUACCUACUAGCACGGCAGAAAAGGCACACUUGUGACUGAAUGCCAUAGUGUUCAUUUAAUGUUAUACAAUUAUCUGAAGAAUGAAGACAUCCGACAGCAGUGGCUACGCAUUCAUUUUGCAUGACAGGCUGCACCAGAAAUGAUGAUCAUGUCACGCGUGUGUAGUGCAACUUCGCUCGAAAUAUGCACUAUAAGUUGGGGAGAACACUCGAUGUGUCUUGCCAGGAAGCUAAUCCUGAAGACGGAUGUUUUACCAUCAUUGAAAUGGAUCUUGCAAGCGCUGACCAUAAUGUAAGUAUCAGAGUUUUAGUCUGAUGCUGUGGCUGUAACUGUAACUGUUUUGACUUGGGAAUGGUAUAUUUUCUGUAACACACCAAUGUUUUUUCUUCAACAUCCCUAAGCCCUCUAUGUUGAGUCUGAGAACUGCCAGCACACAGCUGACAUGAAGGAAUGUUGGCCACAAAGGGAUUUGAGCUUCCCAGGCAACCACCACAGCCGGAAUGCUGUGAUACAAAAUCUGCUUUAGCAAGGAAAGAAGGGAUAUCCUGUGAAGAGACCCAACAUAUUGCUAUGUAGACAGGCUCCUGGAUCUCCUCUUCAACGAGGUCACCCUUGAUCCAGUGCAGUAUGUGGGGAAGCUGUGCGAGCUGUCCAUCCCAGGACCCCUGUAUGCCCAGUGUGAGAGGCCUGACUAGGAGCUGUCCAUCCCAGGACCCCUGUAUGCCCAGUGUGAGAGGCCUGACUAGGAGCUGUCCAUCCCAGGACCCCUGUAUGCCCAGUGUGAGAGGCCUGACUAGGAGCUGUCCAUCCCAGGACCCCUGUAUGCCCAGUGUGAGAGGCCUGACUAGGAGCUGUCCAUCCCAGGACCCCUGUAUGCCCAGUGUGAGAGGCCUGACUAGGAGCUGUCCAUCCCAGGACCCCUGUAUGCCCAGUGUGAGAGGCCUGACUAGGAGGAGGCCAUAGCUGGAUUUGUCUCCCGCUACAAUCUUGAGGGUGACUGAAGCCUGCUUGAUUGAAGCGGGGUAUAUGGUCACCCUCCUCUCCCGCUCUCCUCCCCAUCAAUCUCUGUAGUUGGUUGCAUUUCCUAAACACUAAGUAAUUCAUUUUACAUGAUAUGUCACUUUUUUUUCCAUUUUUUUUUUUUUAAGCAUUCGGAUUGGAGAUGAGUGUUAAAUUGUGCGAAUCAAUGGGGUCCUGCACACUGUAGGGCGGCCGGGUGCCUAUAUUAGGCUUAUGGCUUUAAUCAUUUAUGUCAAAUAAUGUCUCACUAUUGUUUCUCACCUUUAUUUCUCAUGAGUGUUCUUGUUGAUACAUUUUUCCGCUAUACUGGCCUAUUGUAAAUGAUCAAUUAAAUGUCUGAUAAAUAAAUACAAUUCUUGUCAUUAAUAAUGAUAAUGCAGAGGCACCAAUAAAUUGUCCAGUACACUUAUUGUAUUCCUACUUGUCAGGCCUAUACAGAGAGAACAGUCGCUAAGUGCGUUGUUGGAGCUAAUAGGAUCGAAAGAAGGGGAGCGUUGCUCUCGGUUCAGCUUUUGCCAUUGAAAUCUUUCCUUUACCCCCUAGAGUCGAUGUCAGCGCCGCCACUGACAUCUAAUUAGCAUAAAACAAUUGCCAUAAAUUCGUCAGUAUAGGCUAGAGAUGUUUUUUUUGCUGCAUGGGCUGUCUCACUUCACUGCAUCCGCAAAUGUCGCCCUUCCCCAUCUGCAGUGAAUGGUUGCAGAGCUAGAGCGGUGUUUGUCAGACACCAUGAGACAUCCCGUAAAUCGGUCUUCUCACAAAAACGUCUGUAGCGUCCGAACCUACAAACUAUAAUAACCCCUCUAUGAAAAGAUGAGACUCUCACGAACACAGGAUAGAAAUGUUUUCACAUUUAUUCUGUUAAAAACAGAUGCCUUAUUUACAAAGCUAUUCAGACCCUUUGCUAUGAGACUCGGCAUUGAGUUUAGGUAAAUCCUUUUUCGAUUGAUCGUCCUUCAUGUUUCUACAACUUGAUUGCAGCCACCUGUGGUAAAUUCAAUUGAUUGAACAUGUUUUGGCAAGGCACACAUAAGGUUCCUGUCUAUAUACAUUGAGGGAAAAAGUAUUUGAUCCCCUGCUGAUUUUGUACGUUUGCCCACUGACAAAGAAAUGAUCA
Non-coding RNA from Salmo salar (Atlantic salmon), 7305 nucleotides. Lineage: Eukaryota; Metazoa; Chordata; Actinopteri; Salmoniformes; Salmonidae. The record is from RefSeq and is a predicted model, not a curated record.